RNAcentral lists this ribosomal RNA (484 nucleotides) under uncultured bacterium. RNAcentral describes it as "partial 16S ribosomal RNA". It matches the Rfam family "Bacterial small subunit ribosomal RNA", at positions 30 to 507 of the family's 1533-position model. The record is from RNAcentral.
AUUGAACGCUGGCGGAAUGCUUUACACAUGCAAGUCGAGCGGCCGCACGGGGGCAACCCUGGUGGCGAGCGGCGAACGGGCGAGUAAUACAUAGGAACAUGCCCAGUCGAGGGGGAUAACACUUCGUAGGAAAUCCUAAUCCAGUAUCGGAUAAUAGGGUGAACCGGGUGGUUCAAAAGUCCAAGACGGUUUGGCGUGCCCGUAGUCAGAUUAGCUAGUUGGUGGGGUAAGGGCUUACCAAGGCAACGAUCUGUAGCUGGUCUGAGAGGAUGAUCAGCCACACUAGGACUGAGACACGGUCCAGACUCCUACGGGAGGCAGCAGUAGGGAAUUUUGGGCAAUGGGGGCAAGCCUGAUCCAGCCAUUCCGCGUGAGUGAAGAAGGCCUUCGGGUUGUAAAGCCCUUUCGGCAGGAACGAAACAGCGAGCUCUAACAUAGCUUGCUAUUGACGGUACCUGAAGAAGAAGCACCGGCUAACUACGUG